AAGGUAGCAUAAUAAUUUUUUCUUUAAUUGGGAGGUUGAAUGAAUGGGUUAACAAGGUAUCGACUUUAUUUACGUUUCGGUAGAAUUUUAUGGGGAGGUUAAAAUGCCUUUUUGUGUUAAAGGGACGACAAGACCCUAGAAGCUUUGAAGUUUAUAUAAAGAAGAGCUUAUUUAACUGGGGCGGUUAGUAUUGUAAACAAUAUAGUUUUAACAUUUUGUAUGGUUUGGAUGAUCUUGAUUUAAAUAGUAAGGUAAGCUACUCUAGGGAUAACAGCGUGAUUAAGUUUGAGAGUUCUUAUCGAAGGCUUAGUUGCGACCUCGAUGUUGAAUUAAGUGGGCCGCUUGGAGCAGAAAAUGAGCAG
This 362-nucleotide ribosomal RNA is filed under the name Ceratothoa oxyrrhynchaena. RNAcentral describes it as "partial 16S ribosomal RNA". It matches the Rfam family "Bacterial large subunit ribosomal RNA", at positions 1953 to 2569 of the family's 2925-position model. Lineage: Eukaryota; Metazoa; Arthropoda; Malacostraca; Isopoda; Cymothoidae. The record is from RNAcentral.